This 292-nucleotide ribosomal RNA is filed under the name uncultured bacterium. Its description in RNAcentral is "partial 16S ribosomal RNA". The record is from RNAcentral.
GGACUACUGGGGUAUCUAAUCCUGUUUGCUCCCCACGCUUUCGAGCCUCAACGUCAGUUACAGUCCAGUAAGCCGCCUUCGCCACUGGUGUUCCUCCUAAUAUCUACGCAUUUCACCGCUACACUAGGAAUUCCACUUACCUCUCCUGCACUCUAGUCCCACAGUUUCCAAAGCAGUCCCGGGGUUGAGCCCCGGGCUUUCACUCCAGACUUGCAGAACCGUCUACGCUCCCUUUACACCCAGUAAAUCCGGAUAACGCUUGCCCCCUACGUAUUACCGCGGCUGCUGGCAC